Long non-coding RNA from Oreochromis niloticus (Nile tilapia), 2818 nucleotides. The record is from Ensembl. NCBI's taxonomy places the organism in Eukaryota, Metazoa, Chordata, Actinopteri, Cichliformes, Cichlidae.
CCUUUGUCCCUCUUUGGGGGGAAACUCCCACUUGGUUUAAAUCUGGGACUCUCCACCAUUGACCCUUAGAACUGAAGAAGCUUCUCGGAUGAGAGGUGAAACGUCUUCAAGCAACUCAAAGAAGUCCAGAGGCUUUUCUUUCCAAGCUCCUUAGACUAUGAAGACCUGGAUGACUGAGAACCUUCACAGACACAAUGUUAGGAUUGAAUUUAUGAAUACGACACCUUUAAAACAGUCUUGACUUGAGUAUGUAGCCCUGCAAACGAAACAAACAACUAUUAUAAAAAAUAAACUAUAAAAAAGCUUUCUCUGAAGUUCCUGUUUCUAAGGAGGUACGGAUAUAAUAUACUAUAUACAAUCACACCUGUUUUGCAUGAGAAACAUGCAGGAACACACAGCCCUGUCAAUCACACUGUUCACUCACAAAGUACUUAAGCAUCAAAUCGAAGUGCAUUUGUGUGUUACUCUGACCCGUGUCCUCUUACAUCAACAUAUAAUUCUGGUUUUAUCAGUAUGUGCAUGGUCAGUUGCAGACUAUAACAUUAUAUUUGACCUUUAAAUGGGCGUUCAGCAUACUUCAGGUUGAGGUGUGGCUUUACAUAUAAAAAGCGGCAGGUGACAGGUGAGUCAGUGGAUCAAGUUACCAGCACACAGUAAGUUCAACACUGAAUCUCUGCUGAUUAUCUUGUAUGCAUAUGUGCAGAAAGAGUUUGGAUAUGUUGUAGUUUCUUUUGUGAACAGGUUUUGGUGACCUCCCUCGGAUCUGAACUUACAAGGUGUGAAGUUUGACAUUUGGAGAUGUUUGGAAAGGGAAGAGGAGGGCACUGUCAUGAAGGAGGGCAUGGACAUGGUCAUGGUGGUGGACAUGAACAUGGACACGGCCAUGGUGGUGGACAUGGACAUGGUCAUGGUGGUGGACACGAACAUGGACAUGGCCAUGGUGGUGGACAUGGACAUGGUCAUGGUGGUGGACACGAACACGGACAUGGCCGUGGUGGUGGACAUGGUCAUGGUCAUGGUGGUGGACACGGACAUGGCCCUCAUGCUCAUGGAUGUGAGAAGACGCACAGGCGCCGGCACAAGCAAGGACACAGGCACCUCAAAUGCCACAAGAAGGGGAGGAAUUGUCACGGGGACUCCAGCAGCUCCUGCAGCAGUGACUCUGACUAGAUGAAGAUUUCGGGGCCGGGCUUUGUUGGAAACAUUAGUAUUACCUAUCCUUUCUCUUCUGUUUUUUUUUAAACGUUUACUUAAAAAUCAUUUUAACAGAUGUAAGAAAAAACUACAUUAAAUAUAAAGAAUAUGUAAAACAGAAGGCUCAUUCACAUAUUUAGAAAAACUGGAUGUAUGGGUUUUGGGAGUAUCAUUUUAAGCCUUGAGCUUUGCUAUGCUUACCUUGUUUAUUAAAUUAGAACAUGACAAGCUUGGCUCAACUCUACCUUAGAAGCUGAGGAAACUGUAUUCUCAUGGGGUAGCAACCUGUCAAUCACAAGGCAGGUCCUCCUGGAAAUUGUUUACUGAGUUCAUAAGUCGGAAGCAGGUAUAUCUCUGAAAUUAUGCCAAUAAAAUUCUUUUGCAGCCAGCUGCCCCCUGCUGGUCAUCAAAGAGAAUGCAUCUUUUAGACGCAGAAAAUGCAGAUUUUACAUCCAUCUUUUGUGCACAGACUUUGAGUAAUUUUUAAUCAGCUUCCACUGUAUGGUUACCUUACAAUGAAAUAAUAAAUAUAAACGGAUUAUUCUUCUCUAGUCUGUCUCAUUUUUUCUGCCAAAGUCCUUUCUAGCCAGAAAUAUUUUGGCCAUUAAAAGAAUGCAGCUUUGAGGCACUUGCACAUCAGCAGACCAGGAAACAAUAACAUAACACAAACAAAAUUAUUUAUUAGGAGCGGUAUCAGAGACAGGUCCUAUGAAAUCUAUCAUUGUGUUUGCUGGGAUUUAUUUAACAAAUGAUGAAAUGACAUCUUGUGGUGGGAGUUCAGGCUUGCCCCUGAUGAUUUGGAUCUGGAUUUUCAUAAUAGAGGUGUGGCUUUAUAAAACGGAACACUGUGUCUGUGGAUCUGCAGUGCAACACACAGUGACUCCACUCGAGGCAAUCUAGAAAUUACUAUGAAAUAUGUGUGUAUGCAUGUGUGUAUUUGCUACUACUUCUAGUUUUAUGGCUAUAAAUCUGUUUACACCAUCACCCAGUGUGGACUUUCCACCAUUUUAGACCAAAAAAAAGAAAAUAUACAGGCUGCUGAUGAGUAGUUUAUAGUAAUUAUACUGUGGUGUGGCUUUCUCGUGUAUUUAUUUUGUUUAUGCAUUAUAUGACUUUAUAUUUCUAACCUGUUUAAAAACAUUUAGCAAAACCUUUUUUUGACUGUAAAUUUUUGCCCUGUUUUCUUUGAGUCGUCAUAAAAACCGAGCUAUUCCCUCAUUUUAACAGAUGAGCUGAGCCAUCAUUGAUGGUGCUACAGAAUCCUGCAGCAAGAGUCCUGACAGGAACUAGAAAGAGACAGCAUAUACUAUCUUCACAGCAGAAAGAUAUUAAGUGUGAGACAUAGAGGAAGAUAGUGUAUAACAAAUGUAAAAAUAAAUAAAUAAAUCUGUUCACCUGUAUUAGUAGCCAGCAUCCACCCAAUGCUGAUUCCUCACACCCCUGUUGUAAUGAAGGGAGAACGGGUGAUUUACUGGUAAAUUUAAGUUCCUACCAUCACCUGUGAUUGUGCUUAACUGUAUGAAGCUUAUCAGAUAUUAUGAAACAAAAGUGCUUAAAAUACUGAUCUUCUUUUCCUUAAAGAAUUCUACUACAUCAUAUGUAAUUUUUUAUAUUGUGUGUAAUU